This 407-nucleotide ribosomal RNA is filed under the name Shigella flexneri. Its description in RNAcentral is "bacterial SSU rRNA". It matches the Rfam family "Bacterial small subunit ribosomal RNA", at positions 608 to 1014 of the family's 1533-position model. The record is from RNAcentral. Lineage: Bacteria; Pseudomonadati; Pseudomonadota; Gammaproteobacteria; Enterobacterales; Enterobacteriaceae.
CUCAACCUGGGAACUGCAUCUGAUACUGGCAAGCUUGAGUCUCGUAGAGGGGGGUAGAAUUCCAGGUGUAGCGGUGAAAUGCGUAGAGAUCUGGAGGAAUACCGGUGGCGAAGGCGGCCCCCUGGACGAAGACUGACGCUCAGGUGCGAAAGCGUGGGGAGCAAACAGGAUUAGAUCCCCUGGUAGUCCACGCCGUAAACGAUGUCGACUUGGAGGUUGUGCCCUUGAGGCGUGGCUUCCGGAGCUAACGCGUUAAGUCGACCGCCUGGGGAGUACGGCCGCAAGGUUAAAACUCAAAUGAAUUGACGGGGGCCCGCACAAGCGGUGGAGCAUGUGGUUUAAUUCGAUGCAACGCGAAGAACCUUACCUGGUCUUGACAUCCACGGAAGUUUUCAGAGAUGAGAAUG